Gymnodraco acuticeps is the source of this 1865-nucleotide RNA transcript. It is a transcript of the gene named alanine aminotransferase 2-like, with no coding region annotated. The transcript is spliced from 13 exons. The record is from RefSeq and is a predicted model, not a curated record. NCBI's taxonomy places the organism in Eukaryota, Metazoa, Chordata, Actinopteri, Perciformes, Bathydraconidae.
CGUAGUACAGUUUAGCGAGAGCGCGUAUGUUUUGGAUUAGGCCAACCGGCUAACUCAAACAUAUACAGGUUAGGUUGAACCAGCUUCGUAGUAUAGGCCCCAGGCUUAGAUGGGCUACAUAUCAAAGGAUAUUCUGUGGGAUUCCGCAGUCAAACCAUUCCAUCAAACACUUUUUGGUGUUUUUGGAAGGUGCCUGCGGAAUAUAUUGCUGUGACAGGUCAUCCGUCAGACAGAGAUGAGUUCCCUGCAGGAAGGAGACCUCACUCUGCGGGGGACCAGAGCCCCCAGCCGGCUGCAGGAUGCACGCGACACCGAGGAGUCAGCACAGGGAGCCGAGAAACCCUUCCAGCAGGUGAUGGAUGUCAGCACAGGAGAUCCCCACAGGGCAGGGAUGAAGCCUGUCUCGUUUGUUCGGCAGGUCUUGGCAGCGUGUCUCUACCCCAAGCUCCUGGAUGAAAAAAGCCUUCCCCUGGAUGCCAGGCAGAGGGCAAAUACGCUUCUGGGGGUCUGCAGUGGAAGGAGCGUGGGCUCAUACUGUGCAACAGCCUAUGGCAUACCAUAUGUCUGUAAAAGUGUUACAGAGUUCAUCAUGAGGCGAGACGGUGGAGUGAGCUCAAACCCAGAAGACAUCGUCAUCUCCUCUGGUUCUACGAAGACAUUGUUGAUGGUUCUGCACCUGAUGGCCAGUGGGGAAGGGGAGACUUGCACAGGUGUGUUGACCCCGAUGCCCUGCCCACACACCCUGCCCACACUGCUGAACAUGGCUGGAUUGACUUUGGUGCCUUACCAGCUGUUGGAGGACCAAGGCUGGGCUGUAGAACUGGACGAGCUGCACCGAGCUCUGAGAACCACUAGGGGACACUGUUCUCCCAGAGCAAUUUACAUCAGCAAUCCAGGAAACCCCACAGGUCAUGUGCAAGACAGGAAAUCAAUAGAGGAAGUUAUUCGUUUUGCUGCAACCGAGGGCCUCGUCCUGUUGGCUGAUGAGGUGUACCAGGACAGUGUGUAUGGACAAGGGAAAGAGUCUCUUUCCUAUAAGAGAGUCCUGUUUGAGAUGGGCAAAGAGUACUCAAAGAAAGUGGAGUUGGUCUCCUUCCACUCAUUAUCCAGCGCUUUCAUGGGGGAGUGUGGUCUAAGGGGAGCGUAUAUGGAGGCAGUUAAUCUGGACCCAGCCGUGAUGAAAUAUUUAAGAGAUGCGCAGGCCCCUUCCAGCCCUCCAGUUUUACCACAGCUCGCUCUGGAGGUCAUGGUCAAUCCACCCACCCCCGAAGAUCCUUCCUAUAAAACAUAUUCACAGGAGAUUCUUCACUCUAUGACAACCUUGUCCCAGAAUGCUCAGCGUGCUUGUGAGUUCCUGAAUGAUCUAUCAGGGAUCAAAUGCCAACCAGCGAAGGGGGGAGUUUUUCUUUUUCCCCGUCUGCAUUUACCACCUCAGAUGGUAGAGGAGGCCAAGAUGUUAGGAGUGGAGGCAGAUGUGCUUUACUGCCAGAGGUUACUGGAGGAGGAAGGUGUGCGUUUGGGAGCCGGCUGUGAGAACGGACAAGUAGAUCCAAACUUCCACAUCAGAGCCCAUCUGCUUUGAUUGGUUAGCUGGCCGUCUAUAUUUGAUUGGUCUACCGCCGCCCCUUAACCUCUCACGUACAAUGUGUUGGAGCGUUAGCCAAUAGAAGAGUUGUGUGUUUUGGCUCCUUCCGACACCCUGGAUGAGAUCUUGGCACGACUUCACUCUUUCCACCUGCGCCUGCUGGAGAGGUUUCCCUGAGUCAAGGGAAAAUACAGAAUCCUGGUCAACACUACAUACUUUUUUAUUACUGCUAAUUGUUUGAUUGACACUGUCAAAUACAAUUCUAACUUUUUUUUGGAUG